AGAAGCAAAAACAAAUAAGAAUGAUUAACCCGAUUGGUUAAGAAGAAACAGAGAGAAAACUCUGAAACCCUAAGGAAGACGUAGUCCCCUCUCUCGAUCUCUGUCCUCUCUCUCUCCCUCCACCACUUUGCUUUGCUCAAUCAAAUUUGCGCGGGAAACCAGACCAACCGCUUUCUCCCGUUUCCCUGCUUCUGGGAUUCGAAGAGGUGCUUAGAUACAAGCUCCGUAGCUAGAAUUGAUUUCUCCACGAGAUCUGGGGCUUGUUCCAACGUUGUGAUCAUGCAAAAGCAAUUGAGAGCUGUUCGAUAAAGAAGAUGGAGCCUGAACGUACCAAUUUUGGAGGUCCGAGAGAGUUGUGUGGUGCGGUGGAUCUUAUAUCUCAGUACAAACUACUGCAACACCAUGAGUUCUUUUGCAAAAGAUCGCUUUCUGCGUCUCUUUCAGAUUCUCAUUAUCUUCAUGAUGUGGUUGGGGACACUGAGAUUAGAAAAGGAGAUGGAAUGCAGUUAGACCAGCUUACUCAGAGUAAUACGUUACAGAGCCGGGAGAGUAAUAAUACCCGCAUCCAACCUUUUGAUAUGGAUAAGCUUAAGGAGGCUUUCCAGCUUAAUGAUGUGACUCCUGUCGAAUUGCCUCUAGCAGAGAAGGGGGCUCCAACAAUUCCACCAAAGUCAAAACGUGAGUCCAAAGAUAAGGACAGGAAACAUAAAAAACACAAGGACAGGGAUAAGGACAAAGAUAGAGAGCAUAAGAAGCACAAGCACAGGCAUAAAGACAGAAGCAAAGAUAAAGACAAGGACCGAGACAGAAAAAAGGAGAAAAAUGGCCACCACGAUUCGGGUGAUCACUCUAAGAAACAUCAUGAUAAGAAAAGGAAACAUGAUGGGGAUGAAGAUCUAAAUGACGUUCAUAGGCACAAGAAAAACAAGCAUAGGAGCUCAAAGCUUGAUGAGUUGGGUGCUAUAAGGGUUGCUGGCUAAAAUUGGUAGACAAUCCCAAUUUUUUGUAUUCUGCAAUCCUAUAGGUGUCACGGAAGAGGUUUAGAAGCAGUUUUCAACUCACUGUAGACUAUAUAUUAGGUUAAAAAUUUCAAAAAUGGUGGAUUCAUUCGUUGAAGGUGAAAUUUGUGAAGAAGAAGAAAAAGCAGAACUUGUAUUUCAUUUGAUUUAGUGACACUUUGUAACAUUUUGGUCUUUGGAGUUUUUUUAUUAUUCCAUCUCUUUUCUGUCUAUAAAAUCAACACUACUCUGAAUGUUUACUAUUCAUGUAAAAUAAUUAGUAAUCCAAUUAGUGUUGCUGAA
This is an RNA transcript of Brassica rapa (field mustard), 1301 nucleotides long. It is a transcript of the gene named mediator of RNA polymerase II transcription subunit 19a, with no coding region annotated. The record is from RefSeq and is a predicted model, not a curated record. NCBI's taxonomy places the organism in Eukaryota, Viridiplantae, Streptophyta, Magnoliopsida, Brassicales, Brassicaceae.